UGAAUUCACUCUCAACAAUGA
This is a non-coding RNA of Caenorhabditis elegans, 21 nucleotides long. The record is from Ensembl. NCBI's taxonomy places the organism in Eukaryota, Metazoa, Nematoda, Chromadorea, Rhabditida, Rhabditidae.